This is a long non-coding RNA of Triticum aestivum (bread wheat), 4443 nucleotides long. RefSeq lists it as uncharacterized. NCBI's taxonomy places the organism in Eukaryota, Viridiplantae, Streptophyta, Magnoliopsida, Poales, Poaceae. The record is from RefSeq and is a predicted model, not a curated record. The transcript is spliced from 9 exons.
CUAGAGCUGGCUAGCUCGGUCUUCUCUCUCUUCCUUCACUUGCAUGAACUCCAUCUUGUAUUCAUGGCGGACGAGUGCUGAACUCAUGAGAAUGAGAGAGAUGCAUGCAAAGAUUUGUGCUCUCCAUCCAUUGAGCGAUAAGACAGAGAACAGCAGGGUGGUGUGUACAGAGCGUCGCCAUUAGCAGUCACGGGUGCGCGUCUGUAUGCUGGGGCGCUGUAAGACAAGAUUCCGCAGAACCUACUGCAGAACAGUACCCUAUGACGCCAAUGACCUUAACAGCUACCUGCCACGGGAAUGGAUACACUAAAACUGGAAUCUGUGACAGGCAUCUCGAGGUACAGCGUCAUAACUCAACGGCAAGGAUAACGCGGCCGGGGUGCAGGUGCUCAAAAAAUCCGCAUCCGGAGACGGCGAGCCCAUGGAGAAGCGCAACCAAGAGCCGUCCCUGUCGUCGUCCUUGGGCUGAGAAGGGGAGGGGAGGACGAGAUGAAGAGAGGAGGGAGAGUGAGACAGCGAGCCCAUGGAGAAGCGCAACCGGGAGAAAAUCUGCCCGUCAGCGGUACGAAGGCGACAGCCCUCUCCACCUCCGUGCGGCCACCCAGGUUCUUUCAAUACUGCACCUGCUUCCUCUUCCUCUGCUUCGAAUCGAUCUUUAGUAGGUACGAACCAUGGUCUUGAAGCUCAUGCAUGUUCACUGUUUUCUGUAGAAUACACGGAUAAUUAAAACCUAUACGGGAGACGGACAUUCUUCUUCCACUUCUCUACAUCAUGCUACCCACCGGGCGUGGAUAUUCACCUCCACCAAUUUCGUUGAUCCUAUGUGCUACUUCAGUUUAUUAGCUACGUUUAUACACUAUUCUUAAAGGCCUAAGCCCAAAUCGCAUGUUAAUUCCCUGCGCAAUUUUUGUUAUCCUAAUACACCUUGGCAAAAAAAAUUGGCACUCAGGAUCGAACUCACAGUACUUAACUUUAUACCUUCAAUGCUUUUAACUGGGUGUGUGAUUCUUUUGUUACUAAAUAAGAUUAGCUUCUCCCUAUGCAUCUGUUGUUUGUUUGAUAAUUUAUUGGGCAUAUUUUCAACUGGAAGACACAAAGGAGGUGGCGUAGUGGCAUGGAGAUCCUGGUGUUGAGUGUCUUGUUUGUCUGGCUACUGUUCUGAAUAGAUGGUAACACUAAUUAUUGAGGCUAAAUGAUACUGUUAUACCGCUUUCUUGGCCUAAAUAUUAUUUAGUAAACAUCUUUGUUCCAUAUCCUAUUAAUAUGCGUGCAUCUUCUCAAUUUAUUCCCAUUGGUGCAAUGCCUAUUUGAUUUUAUUAUUAGCUAUUAUGGGAAAGUUAGUACUAAGUACUGCCCUUGAGCAAGCGCUUUCUAUUUAUUUGAUUCAGUUAACGAAUUCAGUUUUCCGUGGUCGAUGAAUACAGUAGGAGCCUGGGAUCUUUUAACCACAGAGAUGCUUAAUUAGUAAUCAAAAAAUGCAUCAUUUCUUUGUUGGAAUUCUAUUGGUUCGGCCGUCGACACGUCUCUCUUCAAGGCAAGGUCAGGUCUAAGGUGAGCUCAUCAUAUUUUCUUUCUUCAAUCUCGGGUGAAGAUAUAUUUCCUGUGCACUAAGAUCCAUUUUUUGUGUGAAUGAGGAGGCCAGACAGCAUUUUACGAACCGUUUAUGCCUCUGAACCGGACCAUACCGUGGGUGAUUGACGAUUGUCUUAGUGUGCAUAGCUAUAUUCUUGGGUGCAUGUUAGAUCUAAUAAUUUUGACAAUCUGUUAGGUGACAGACGAAAGAUUUGCUGAUACGUUUGCAUUUAUCGAGUUCGGUGCAGAAGGCAUUAUUAUAUCUUCAGAUGCUACAUUUAUGUUUUUCAGCAGUUAAUUGAUGGUUUGAUACAUAUGGCACAUUUAAUAUAGCGGGUGCUAGAGCUGCACUUAACCUUGGUAGCACAAUGCUUGGGUUCUACCCUGUUAGAGUCUUGCCUUCAAAGACAACUAUCUUACCUGUGAAUCCAGAAAUUCUUCCGGUGGUAGGUUGUUUGAUGUUUCACCUUCUGCCAGCUCCAUUCUACUUAUCCACAAUACCAACAACAAUAUCCUAUUGUUCCUGGCCCGUAGAUGGGGGAUUAGAAAGAAAUGGUCCUAUAAACGGUUUAUUGUAAAAUAUGGAUAAGAAGGUACACACUCGUGUUCUACUUCGACAUCGUAUUGUCUUUCACUUGCUCAUUUUCUCAUCAUACCUUUUUUUAUUUCAAGACACCGCAAUCAAAUCAGAUGUUUAAUUACAAUUUACCUGUUUUCUCUGCAGGUUACUCAAUUAGAUGUAAAGAGUUUCUUUGAAGAACUUUGUGGUGAGGUUUACUAAUUUUGGCUCAAGGGAGACACAUUUUUGGCUGGCACGACAUUGAAUUCUCCGGUAAGAACCUCCACGGGUGUUGAGAGAUGGUGGGUGAUACAGCGAUAGGUGGCACUGGGGUCCAGUUGUGAUCGUAUCUGCUGGCUAUGCUGAUUGCCCUGGUGAAUGACAAUGAUAUCUUUGGGGAAGCUUCAGAAAGUACAUCAACUUCUGCAACAUCUGUACCUACUGCAGAUCUUACGAGUAUUGAUCAGCUUCUCAAAACAAGUGGUGGAGUUAAUGAGCCAGGAUGAAGUUCGAGAAGUUGCAUUAUACCAUGUAAAUAUUAAGGUUCCACUUUAAUGAGCUGUGGAAGACAAGUGCACCGACAUAGCUGUUGGAGACAUAAGAAGAUGAUGAAGAGCGAUUUAUGGGUAAAAAAUAUAGUGAAUAGAUUUGCACGUGAAGUCAAGUGUAUGCCCAGACUCGAGCAGGUUCGCUGUUAUUGUUGUUCUUGUGUGUCAAGGCUUUUGGCUGCAGACUUGCAGAAGGGGCAGCUGGGGCAUGGGGACACUCUUGCGUAACCUCCAGCUGUCGUUUCUAAACUAUGAAGAGAAUCGUAUGCACUGCCCUUCAUUUUAAUUGUGUAAACAGAUACAACAUAAUUGCAGCAGCUGUUGGAAGAAAUCACACGGUGGUUGUAACUAGCGAAGGGGAAAGUGAUUUUCAUUUGGUGACAACAUGCAUGGGCGGGAGGGGUUCACUAAGGAGUGGUCGACUCCCUUGCCUGUUGCAUUUUUUUCUUUAUGGUUGAUAGAUGACACAACUAGAAGUGCAGUAAAUACGACUUAUAUUGUCACCUGUUCUUACAACCUACCUGUUUGGGUGAUAAUGAAACCAAUAAAAAUAUGGCGGCCAUUAGUCAGUGUUUCACAAGUCAUGUAUAGAUCUUUUAGUUUUGUGGCCUACACGCUUAUGUGUAAUAUUUAUCUGUUGAUAAUCAUCUUUGUCAUAUAUUGCUAAGGACAUGAAAAAUGAUGUGUUUCAAAAACCAUGAAGAGCAUUAGUUUGGGUGUUUUAAAAAUCUUGUUAGUCACAAUCUUAUGACUGUUUUAGACGGAAAAAAUCAAUUGACAAAUCUAAUGACUUCGUUUAUGCUAUACAGGUGAGUGAUAAGCUUGAUCAUCGGAGCUUGUGAAACCGUGUGAGAUUUUGAAUCCCCACAACAAGCCCGAGAGGCUGGCACUAAUCACGAGGAUGGGGGCUGAGAAGAUGCAUGACAAGCUCCCCCAUAUGAUCAGAGUUGUGCGUUAAGCAGGGCUGAUUGUCACCUGGGUCAGCGAUCCCAUGCACCGGAACACCAUCAGCGCAUCUUGCAGGUUCAAGACAGGACCAUUCGAUGCAAUCCGAAUAAGCAUGAUAACUUUUUGCAUAAUUCGACACAGAACAACCUACCUAUAUCUGAUUUUUCACGCUGAGGCUUUGUUUUAUGUCCAUGAGUGAGAGGGAGCUACCCUGGAAGGGUUCACCUAGAAAUGACAUGGCAGAACGUUACAGAGUGCAUUGGUGAAUCCAACACAAUGACCUGAAAUGAUCUCAUUUCCCGCUACCACACACAUUGCGACCCCAGGCUGAAUGUGUCACAGUCGCUCGAGCUGACCUUCACCAUUUUCGAUAGGCUAAGGAAGAAGGACAUGGAAUAACCUCAUAUCUAGGGUACAAGCUUAAGAUAUCUAUCUUAUGUUUCUUCCCCGCAAAACUCUCUUCUGCUGCUAGAGGACAUAAUUUUACAUUCUUUAGUUUUUUUAGUAGUAUAGGUGGCGUUUGAUUUUGGAAAUACCGAGAAAAAAUCUCCCUCAAAUAAUAGGAUAUAGUUGUUUUGUUGCAUUACCAAUUGUGCUUAGUUCAAUUUCUUUCGUGUUCAUCCUUUCUUUGAUGCAGAUAGUGUGAGGGAGAUUACAGGAGACCUGACAAUAGAUUACUCAUUCGGUAUCUGCUGAGAUUGUACAUAAUGUUUAUUGAUUAAAUUUGGAAAUGUAAUAUGAGAAGUAAGGGCAUCUAUAGUGCUUCCCUGAAUUUUAAGUCCUCAAAAGACACUCCAAGUUCAACUCAAAUUUUUA